UACUUACGAUUAGUUUUGCAGGUUUGCAUUUCAGCGUAUAUAUGUAUAUAUGGCUGUGCAAAUCCAUGCAAAACUGAUUGUGAUAAUG
Molecule: microRNA precursor, 88 nt
Filed under: Eptesicus fuscus (big brown bat)
Lineage: Eukaryota; Metazoa; Chordata; Mammalia; Chiroptera; Vespertilionidae
Description: microRNA efu-mir-19 precursor
Gene: efu-mir-19
Rfam family: mir-19 microRNA precursor family
About the family: The hairpin precursors (represented here) are predicted based on base pairing and cross-species conservation -- their extents are not known.
Source: miRBase by way of RNAcentral